Molecule: ribosomal RNA, 253 nt
Filed under: uncultured bacterium
Lineage: Bacteria
Description: partial 16S ribosomal RNA
Rfam family: Bacterial small subunit ribosomal RNA
Source: RNAcentral
UACGUAGGGCGCAAGCGUUAUCCGGAAUUAUUGGGCGUAAAGAGCUCGUAGGCGGUUUGUCGCGUCUGCCGUGAAAGCCCGGGGCUUAACCCCGGGUCUGCAGUGGAUACGGGCAGGCUAGAGGUAGGUAGGGGAGAAUGGAAUUCCUGGUGUAGCGGUGAAAUUCGUAGAUAUCAAGCGGAACACCGGUGGCGAAGGCGGCCUUCUGGACGAUGACUGACGCUGAGACGCGAAAGCGUGGGGAGCAAACAGG